This 301-nucleotide ribosomal RNA is filed under the name uncultured bacterium. RNAcentral describes it as "partial 16S ribosomal RNA". It matches the Rfam family "Bacterial small subunit ribosomal RNA", at positions 509 to 808 of the family's 1533-position model. The record is from RNAcentral.
CAGCAGCCACGGUAAUACGUAGGUCCCGAGCGUUGUCCGGAUUUAUUGGGCGUAAAGCGAGCGCAGGCGGUUUGAUAAGUCUGAAGUUAAAGGCUGUGGCUCAACCAUAGUUCGCUUUGGAAACUGUCAAACUUGAGUGCAGAAGGGGAGAGUGGAAUUCCAUGUGUAGCGGUGAAAUGCGUAGAUAUAUGGAGGAACACCGAUGGCGAAAGCGGCUCUCUGGUCUGUAACUGACGCUGAGGCUCGAAAGCGUGGGGAGCGAACAGGAUUAGAUACCCCUGUAGUCCCUGUCUCUUAUACA